Molecule: long non-coding RNA, 265 nt
Filed under: Gallus gallus (chicken)
Lineage: Eukaryota; Metazoa; Chordata; Aves; Galliformes; Phasianidae
Source: RNAcentral
UUCCACUCUUGGCCACUGGGAGUAGGGGACAUUCUUGCAGAAGGCCUCCAGGAUCUUCUCCUUCACUUGGCUGAGUGUGUCUGUAUCCAUGGCCCUGACGCUCAGGGAGUCCAUCCCGCAGCCUUGGAAGGAGACGUUGAGGUUCCUUGGCUUUGCCUCGAUGUUCUCACGCAGGAGCCACUCCUCAUUGAGGGUGUAUCUGGCCUUCCCUGUGAUGGCAUCAAUGGAGCCUUUGUUAAUCUGCUGCUUGAUGGCACAGAUCAGC